AAGGGUUCCUAUUCCCCUCACAUUGCUACAAUUCUCAGAGUAGUUUAACAAUCAAUUCCUCUCCAUAGGGAACUCUGGGAAUUGUAGCUUUCAGAGGGGAAUAGGGGCCUU
Molecule: non-coding RNA, 111 nt
Organism: Podarcis lilfordi (Lilford's wall lizard)
Lineage: Eukaryota; Metazoa; Chordata; Lepidosauria; Squamata; Lacertidae
Source: the annotation of a GenBank genome assembly